UACGUAGGGUGCGAGCGUUAAUCGGAAUUACUGGGCGUAAAGCGUGCGCAGGCGGUUUUGUAAGACAGAUGUGAAAUCCCCGGGCUUAACCUGGGAACUGCGUUUGUGACUGCAAGGCUAGAGUACGGCAGAGGGGGGUGGAAUUCCACGUGUAGCAGUGAAAUGCGUAGAUAUGUGGAGGAACACCGAUGGCGAAGGCAGCCCCCUGGGCCUGUACUGACGCUCAUGCACGAAAGCGUGGGGAGCAAACAGG
RNAcentral lists this ribosomal RNA (253 nucleotides) under uncultured bacterium. RNAcentral's name for it is "partial 16S ribosomal RNA". It matches the Rfam family "Bacterial small subunit ribosomal RNA", at positions 524 to 776 of the family's 1533-position model. The record is from RNAcentral.